GCGAGACACCUCUUGGUUCUUACCUCACUUACUAUGUGGAGUAAGUGUUCCUUAAUAUAGUCACUUGAAAGUUUCCUUCUUCCACCAAUGUGGGAGAGUUAGUAGAUUUUUCACUUUUGAGUACACUUUCCAUUUUUUAGUUUUAUCUCAAUUCUUUUCCUCCACUUGGUUUCCUCUAUUUUUCAUUCACACUUUGAUCUUGAAC
RNAcentral lists this long non-coding RNA (205 nucleotides) under Capsicum annuum. RNAcentral's name for it is "long non-coding RNA (CANN_LNC006523)". The record is from RNAcentral. Lineage: Eukaryota; Viridiplantae; Streptophyta; Magnoliopsida; Solanales; Solanaceae.